Molecule: ribosomal RNA, 647 nt
Filed under: uncultured Peziza
Lineage: Eukaryota; Fungi; Ascomycota; Pezizomycetes; Pezizales; Pezizaceae
Description: eukaryotic LSU rRNA
Rfam family: Eukaryotic large subunit ribosomal RNA
Source: RNAcentral
AUAUUAAAGGAAACUAGAAGCAGGAGCAAAAAUGAUGAACUAGGCCUCAGAUCAGGUAGGGAUACCCGCUGAACUUAAGCAUAUCAAUAAGCGGAGGAAAAGAAACCAACAGGGAUUGCCUCAGUAACGGCGAGUGAAGCGGCAAAAGCUCAGAUUUUAAAUCUAAUGUUCUUUGGACAUUCGAGUUGUAAUCUGUAGAGAGGUGUUCGGGUAGUGGCUUGGCUCAAGUUCCUUGGAACAGGAUAUCAUGGAGRGUGAGAAUCCCGUGAAUGGCCUUGCAUACUACUCACUGUGAACCUUCUUCAACGAGUCGAGUUGUUUGGGAAUGCAGCUCUAAAUGGGUGGUAAAUUUCAUCUAAAGCUAAAUACUGGCAGGAGACCGAUAGCGCACAAGUAGAGUGAUCGAAAGAUGAAAAGAACUUUGGAAAGAGAGUUAAAUAGUACGUGAAAUUGUUGAAAGGGAAGCACUUGCUCCCAGACUUGCCUGUAGCUGAUCAACCUUCAUUCUUUGUGGGUGCACUUGGUUAUUUUGGGCAGGCCAGCAUCAGUUCAGACAGAGNNAAAAGGCCUAGGGGAAUGUGACUCUCUUCGGAGGGUGUUNUANCCUCUGGUGUGUGAUAUCUCUAGUCCUGGACUGAGGACCGCGC